RNAcentral lists this ribosomal RNA (425 nucleotides) under uncultured bacterium. RNAcentral describes it as "partial 16S ribosomal RNA". It matches the Rfam family "Bacterial small subunit ribosomal RNA", at positions 354 to 796 of the family's 1533-position model. The record is from RNAcentral.
GUUAGGAAUAUUGGACAAUGGGCGAAAGCCUGAUCCAGCCAUGCCGCGUGAACGAUGAAGGCCUUCGGGUUGUAAAGUUCUUUAGCCGAUGAUUAUAAUGACUGUAGUCGGAAAAUAAGCCCCGGCUAACUUCGUGCCAGCAGCCGCGGUAAUACGAAGGGGGCGAGCGUUAUUCGGAAUCACUGGGCGUAAAGCGUGCGUAGGCGGUUUUGUAAGUUAGGAGUGAAAGCCCAGGGCUCGACCUUGGAAUUGCUCUUAAAACUGCAAGGCUAGAAUCUCGGAGAGGAUAGCGGAAUUUCCAGUGUAGCAGUGAAAUGCGUAGAUAUUGGAAGGAACACCAGUGGCGUAAGCGGCUAUCUGGACGAGUAUUGACGCUGAGGCACGAAAGCGUGGGGAUCAAACAGGAUUAGAAACCCCAGUAGUCC